Molecule: non-coding RNA, 262 nt
Filed under: Onchocerca volvulus
Lineage: Eukaryota; Metazoa; Nematoda; Chromadorea; Rhabditida; Onchocercidae
Description: Eukaryotic small subunit ribosomal RNA
Rfam family: Eukaryotic small subunit ribosomal RNA
Source: Rfam by way of RNAcentral
AUUUAAUGAACAUGGCAAAACUCACCUGGCCCGGACACUGUGAGAAUUAACAGAUUGAGAGCUCUUUCAUGAUUCGGUGGUUGGGGGUGCAUGAUCGUUUUUAGUUGGUAGAGUGAUUUGUCUGGUUUAUUCAUAAAAAACGAACAAAUAUGGAAAAGAAUAGAGUUCAAUAUCCCAGCUAUGUUUUCUUAACUAAAUAAUAUCCAACACCACCAAUAAAUCGAAUUGCGAAGAACCGAUUUUCGGAACUAUUAUAUUUAGA